This 724-nucleotide ribosomal RNA is filed under the name uncultured Fusobacterium sp. Its description in RNAcentral is "bacterial SSU rRNA". It matches the Rfam family "Bacterial small subunit ribosomal RNA", at positions 28 to 776 of the family's 1533-position model. Lineage: Bacteria; Fusobacteriati; Fusobacteriota; Fusobacteriia; Fusobacteriales; Fusobacteriaceae. The record is from RNAcentral.
GAUGAACGCUGACAGAAUGCUUAACACAUGCAAGUCGACUCGAGUCUUCGGACUUGGGUGGCGCACGGGUGAGUAACGCGUAAAGAACUUGCCUCUUAGACCGGGACAACAUCUGGAAACGGAUGCUAAUACCGGAUAUUAUGGUUUUUUCGCAUGGAGGAAUCAUGAAAGCUAGAUGCGCUAAGAGAGAGCUUUGCGUCCCAUUAGCUAGUUGGUGAGGUAACGGCCCACCAAGGCAAUGAUGGGUAGCCGGCCUGAGAGGGUGAACGGCCACAAGGGGACUGAGACACGGCCCUUACUCCUACGGGAGGCAGCAGUGGGGAAUAUUGGACAAUGGACCACAAGUCUGAUCCAGCAAUUCUGUGUGCACGAUGACGUUUUUCGGAAUGUAAAGUGCUUUCAGUCGGGAAGAAGUCAGUGACGGUACCGACAGAAGAAGCGACGGCUAAAUACGUGCCAGCAGCCGCGGUAAUACGUAUGUCGCAAGCGUUAUCCGGAUUUAUUGGGCGUAAAGCGCGUCUAGGCGGCAAGGAAAGUCUGAUGUGAAAAUGCGGAGCUCAACUCCGUAUGGCGUUGGAAACUGCCUUACUAGAGUACUGGAGAGGUAGGCGGAACUACAGGUGUAGAGGUAAAAUUCGUAGAUAUUUGUAGGAAUGCCGAUGGGGAAGCCAGCCUACUGGACAGAUACUGACGCUAAAGCGCGAAAGCGUGGGUAGCAAACAGG